Molecule: unclassified non-coding RNA, 148 nt
Filed under: uncultured fungus
Lineage: Eukaryota; Fungi
Description: sequence contains ITS2
Source: RNAcentral
CACCAAUCAAGCCCGGCUUGGUAUUGGGUCACGGGGACGACCCUGACCUCAAUGUCUCACGGCUGGAACACCCCGAACUCAGCGUUGUGGAAUCAAAUUCGCUUUGGGAAAGGGCGGUCCAUCGCCGUUAAACAUCUCCAUAUCUAAA